RNAcentral lists this ribosomal RNA (528 nucleotides) under Triticum aestivum (bread wheat). Its description in RNAcentral is "partial small subunit ribosomal RNA". The record is from RNAcentral. Lineage: Eukaryota; Viridiplantae; Streptophyta; Magnoliopsida; Poales; Poaceae.
AUGACAGCUCCGAUUUUGCUGACGAGUUUCACAGGAGAAAGUUGCAAGCCACGCAUCGACCUAGUCCAACGCAACAUCCGGAGAGCACCGUCCACUGAAAACCGCCCUCAUGGAGUCAUCAUUGCCGCAGUGGCCCUGCCGCCCGCAGCUCCGGCUUCUCUGUCACAGCCAGAAAUCAGCAUAGGCACACCCAUUGGCGCACCGGACCUUCAACAUCAGAAGGACAAGCCGCGACCCGGCUCUGCUCGCCACCAUCGUCGUUGCCACACACAUCACAACGCCACACCCACCUCGCAUCACCGGUUGGCCACCUGCCAACGUGAUGCCGUGUAUGUCCAGCCCAAGGGAAGCGCGGAGAAGGAUCAUCGGUCUUCAAAGCAACGCCCCAAAGGGGGAAACGCCGCGGGGGCGACGUCGUUGCCCAACCCAGAUGGGUCUAGGCUUUUGCCCGAAGAACAAGAUCCGAGAAUGAAGCGUGUCGAAGAAACACCACGGCGGCGCCAUCAAGAAGGGAAACGACACCCGUAG